GAAAUAUAAAAUAUUAAAUUAAGCUUCUAACUUAAAUUUAUAGCAGUGUGAUUCUGUUAAUAUUUCU
Molecule: transfer RNA, 67 nt
Filed under: Eusphalerum torquatum
Lineage: Eukaryota; Metazoa; Arthropoda; Insecta; Coleoptera; Staphylinidae
Description: tRNA-Ser
Source: RNAcentral